RNAcentral lists this unclassified non-coding RNA (1921 nucleotides) under Sitophilus oryzae (rice weevil). Its description in RNAcentral is "uncharacterized MFS-type transporter C09D4.1-like, transcript variant X1". Lineage: Eukaryota; Metazoa; Arthropoda; Insecta; Coleoptera; Curculionidae. The record is from RNAcentral.
AAUCUCAGGGCUAUGGCGAACUUUUCAGUCGCGUUUAGAGCCAAAAACUACCGAAAUCUUACGAGAGACCAUGGCCACCGAGAACCUUCACCUAAAGAAGUCUCUCGAAGAUGGAGGUAACGCGGAUGUGAUCAGAGCUUUUAGCAUGCGAUGGUACAUUUUGGCCGUGUACGUCUAUUACUCUACCAUUAGUUGUUUCCAAUGGGUGGAGUACUCCAUAAUAACGAAUAUAGUGAUGCGGUACUACAAUGUCAGCUCGAGUGCAGUCGAUUGGACUGGUGUCAUGUUCAUGAUCGUGUGGCCGAUUUUCGUAUUUCCAUCUUCGUUUUUAAUUGAUAAAUUGGGGCUUAGAUUUGCGGCACUGAUUGGUUGCUUCUUGACAGCUAUUGGAGCUGCUAUAAAGCUUUUUUCCAUAGAUCAAGGUGCUUUUAAUGUAGUGCUGGUCGGUCAAGCCAUCGUCUCAUUAUCUCAAGUUUUUAUCCUGAGCCUACCACCGAAACUAGCAGUGACAUGGUUCAGACCUGACGAGGUUUCUAAAGUUUGUUCUAUUGGAGUUUUUGGUAUGCAGUUAGGUAGUGCUCUAGGUUUUCUAUUACCACCAAUGCUAGUAAAAGACCAACCAGACUUAGCAGCCAUUGGAUCGGAUUUAAAAAUACUCUGUUGGAGUCUCUCUAUUGCGAUUGUUCCAGCAUGCAUAGCUGUAGUCGUAUAUUUCCCUCAUAUGCCCAGACUGCCACCCAGUGCAGCUCAGGCUGAAGAAAGAAAGAAAAUCCAGAUCGUCACAAUGGGAACAUUCAUUCAGUCUUUGAAGGAUCUGAUGAAAAACAAAGGUUUCCUGGUACACAUGCUGGGAUAUGGGAUUAGUUUUGGAAUAUUCUCAGCUUUUGGUACGCUACUCAACCAGUUUGUGCUGUCAUAUUUUCCAGGUGCAACAGAAGAUGCAGGAAGAAUGGGACUAGUAAUGAUAAUGUUUGGUAUGUUCGGAGGUUUUAUGGCUGGAAUAGUGUUGGAUAAAACCCAUAAAUACAAGGAAACAAAUCUUUUUAUUUACAUAGGAACAGCACUUUGUUUUAUUGCUUUACUGUUAUGUUUACAAAUCAAGGCAAAAAUUUCCGUAUACUUUACUAUAGGUAUAUUUGGAUUUUUCCUGAACGCAUAUAUCCCUGCAGGAAUUGAGUUUGCCUCAGAACUAACGUACCCUGCCAAUGAGAGUACUACCACUGGUUUAAUGACGGCCGUUUCUCAAACGUUAGGUAGUAUUUUUGUGAAAGUCUCUAACCUGUGAAUUGUCCAGUGACAGUGACCACAAUCGCCUUGUGAAGCUUAUGAUAUUAUGGUGUCACUUUUACCCUUGUCUUGAGCCACUUGAACUUAAGUUGGGGUACACUUUGGGCCAUAUUAAUUCAAAUAGUACUGUUAUUCAUCGGUUCGGUGUUAACCAUGUUAGUACCAAACAACCUGAGAAGACAAGAAGCGUUCAACAGAGGAAGACCAGUUGAGUUUACGGAAUUACCUCAAGAAGAUCCUGCGCUUACCAAACAUGAAAAUUCAUGAUUUAUAUAGAAAAUCCGUUGGAAAAAGUAAAGUAUUUCCGGAGAUAUUUGGACUGAUUUGGGACUCUUAAGUUGUUUGUUCAGUGUCGAAAUUAAGAGCUAUAGAGUCAGUCCAACUGACUUUGGAAAUACUAUACUGUAUAUGAUCAAAAAGUUUUAUGAACAAGCUGAUUUUGGAUGGUUACGUAUAGUUAAAUGAAUUCUAACUUAUUUUGUUUCUUAAUCAUAUUAUCGUUGACAUUCCGCUUGAUCAUAAAACGUUUUGAUCAUGCUGUGUUUGUCAUAUUGACAAAGAAUUGUAGUUCCUAAAUACACUUUUGUAGUAAUACAACAGAAUUAAUAUAAUAAAAGUGACUGGUGAAAAAAUC